AGAGUUUGAUCAUGGCUCAGGACGAACGCUGGCGGCGUGCUUAACACAUGCAAGUCGAGCGGAAAGGCCCUUUCGGGGGUACUCGAGCGGCGAACGGGUGAGUAACACGUGAGUAACCUGCCCUCGACUCUGGGAUAAGCCUGGGAAACUGGGUCUAAUACCGGAUAUUCACCUCCUGUCGCAUGGUGGGGGGUGGAAAGUUCCCUCUUUUUGGGGGUUCGGUCGGGGAUGGGCUCGCGGCCUAUCAGCUCGUUGGUGGGGUGACGGCCUACCAAGGCGACGACGGGUAGCCGGCCUGAGAGGGCGACCGGCCACACUGGGACUGAGACACGGCCCAGACUCCUACGGGAGGCAGCAGUGGGGAAUCUUGCGCAAUGGGCGAAAGCCUGACGCAGCGACGCCGCGUGGGGGAUGAAGGCCUUCGGGUUGUAAACCCCUUUCAGCACCGACGAAUGAAGGACGGUAGGUGCAGAAGAAGCGCCGGCUAACUACGUGCCAGCAGCCGCGGUAAUACGUAGGGCGCGAGCGUUGUCCGGAAUUAUUGGGCGUAAAGAGCUCGUAGGCGGCUUGUCGCGUCUGUCGUGAAAGCCCACGGCUUAACCGUGGGUUUGCGGUGGAUACGGGCAGGCUAGAGGCAGGUAGGGGAGCAUGGAAUUCCCGGUGUAGCGGUGAAAUGCGCAGAUAUCGGGAGGAACACCGGUGGCGAAGGCGGUGCUCUGGGCCUGUUCUGACGCUGAGGAGCGAAAGCGUGGGGAGCGAACAGGAUUAGAUACCCUGGUAGUCCACGCCGUAAACGUUGGGCGCUAGGUGUGGGGUUCUUCCACGGAUUCCGCGCCGUAGCUAACGCAUUAAGCGCCCCGCCUGGGGAGUACGGCCGCAAGGCUAAAACUCAAAGGAAUUGACGG
This 905-nucleotide ribosomal RNA is filed under the name uncultured bacterium. RNAcentral's name for it is "bacterial SSU rRNA". It matches the Rfam family "Bacterial small subunit ribosomal RNA", at positions 8 to 916 of the family's 1533-position model. The record is from RNAcentral.